UAGGAGUUGAACGAAGGAUGGGAUGGAGUUUACCUUUGGUUGUUAAACGGUGAAAUCGAUGGAAUUGAAUGAAACGGGUGGAGAACUUCCUUCCUUGCUGUCACAAAAACUCCUUGAGUUUGAUAGGUUUGAAUAUAGAAGAUGGAGGGUGGAAGGUCACUUGAAAAUGGAGAGUCUCCAUGGAGUGGAGAAGUUGGCGUAGGGGAAGAGAGAAAAGGGUUUUGGGCUUGUACAAAAUUUUCUAAGAAUAAAUUGGGCCCAACAUAAUAUUGGUGGAGUUAGGCUCAAGUUGGAAAAAUAUAAGAGAAUUUGAUGGCCCAACACUCUUUUAAAAUUUACUAAGGACAUUGGGACUUUAAUUUAUAUUUACUUGGGUCGGCCCAAGUUCUUAUAUUUA
Long non-coding RNA from Salvia splendens (bonfire salvia), 397 nucleotides. RefSeq lists it as uncharacterized. The transcript is spliced from 2 exons. NCBI's taxonomy places the organism in Eukaryota, Viridiplantae, Streptophyta, Magnoliopsida, Lamiales, Lamiaceae. The record is from RefSeq and is a predicted model, not a curated record.